UCUCUUUUGGAAUUCUCAGGGUGUCAUUCUUCCAACUUUACUGAUGAGGAAACCAAGCCCAGGGGGUAAGGGAUAAUAUGUCCAGAGAAAGUAAAGGAAACAGGAAAAGAAACAGGGAAGUAAAGGAAAGGGGAUUCAAACAGAGGCCUGCUGAGGAUCCUGUCAUGCCAUGCUGAAAGAUGACCCACUGGUGCCUUCACGUCUCAUCUCAUGUAUCAAUCUACACAAACUUACAGAGUGGACAACAGAAGAUGAGGAAACUAAAGUUUGGUGAGGCAAAGCAAGUUGCCCAAGAUCAACACCCAGGACAUGGGAGAGCAGGAUUGCAAUCUGGCCGGCUAGCCCUGGAGCCCACACUCCCGAAAACCACAGUUGGCUCUCUUGCUGCUAUCUCUGUUGGUCUUCCUGCUUCGUGUCCCUCCUUCAGGAGCCAAGGUAAGGGAACUUAGACCCCGAGAGCUUCUGUGACUUAGCAGUGCAUCGCAGAUACACCCGCCAACAACUGCCACAGAACGAGCAACCUCAACAUCUCAAUGUUGCAAGAUAAUAAGCAUUUCUUCUGCCCUCACCAGUCCAUGGGUUGGUUGCAGGGGCCUUCCUGUACAUGUCUCAUCCUUAGCCUGGGACAUCAGACCAGCCAGGGCACGUUCUCUCCAAGCAGGUGUAGGGGCACUCAAGCCCAUGGCAAAGCACACUUCAAGCUCCUGCUUGCAUCACAUCUGCCAACUCCUACAUUGUGGGGAUGCACUAUUGCGCUCUCAAUUAAGGCUUUGGGCUCUUCAGGAGAAAAGAGACUCAUGCAUAUCAGCUCAACAGUAGUACGCAUUCCACUGAGACUGCUUUUGGGUACAAGUACCCAGAGAAUGGACCGCAUGGGGUUGUACCAGCGUUUACUAGGUGCUGUUCCAAUCUGCCUCCCUGCCCUGACUGGUGAACUCUCAGCUUCCUCCAUUCCCUGCCUCCUGGCAAGCAGAGGGGAAAGAUGAUCCCCGAUUGUAGAAAUCCAGGAGGCGUGGCAAGGUGGCUUUUUGGCGGGCUCGUAAAUUGCCAAGUGGAUUAUGGAGGAUAGAUAAGCCGGAAGACGCCAGGCACAGCUUGGAUGUAUUUCAUUUCUGAUCACACCGGAAUGGAGCAAGAAUUAUGGACAAAGUGCAUAGACCCAAGCAGCCAUGCUUGAUCAUUUACACCCCUCGCUGUCAUUUUUAAUCUGCGGUGUCUGUUCUCUCCAACCCCGAAAACACCAAACCCGGCCUCUUGAAGAACCUCUUCACUCGAGUCUUUCUCAAUAUGUCGAGCCUUUCUCAAUAUUUGGCAUGGUUCCCAUGGGAGCUUCCCCACACUGUGACCCUGCUGUGGGGACUAAACACGAGAAUGAGUCUGGUGGAGGGGGCACUUGACAUCUGGUUUGUAAAUUAACAUCAACCACAUGUGCAUGUGCCCAUAUCCACACUCCUUUCUCCAAAGCCCCAUCACAUUUUAGAGAUAAAAAUGAGUUGGGAGCAUAAGCUUUUGGGUCAUGUGGAAUUGAACUGGAAUAUUAAUCCCAACACUUACAAAUGGUGGGAGUUUGGAGGGGACAUUUAAUCUCUUUCAGCCUCAGUAUCCUUAUUUGUAAAUGGGCUAAUGACAUCUACCUUAUGGAGUUGUUGGACAUGUGGGGUUGUGUCCAUGAUGAGAACAUGCAUCUGACACUUGGUAGAGUUCAUGGUACCUAGUUAAGACUUUAAGCAUGACAGUUAUUAUCAUGGUUAUUGUCCAGACACAAGAUGAUGGACCUGCUCCCUGAGGCCAACUGAGAUGCGUCCAGGCUUAGAUUCACAGAGUCCAUGACUGGACACAGGUUGGAUGGAUGGAUGGAUGGAUGGAUGGAUGGAUGGACAAGUGGAUGGUUAGUUUUGUGGAUGGAUAGGUAGAUAAAUGCACAGGUGAAGGGCCAGGUGGUACAAUAUCUGAAUAGGCUCUAUUUUGGGCAAGAGAACAUCAAAG
Molecule: long non-coding RNA, 1986 nt
Organism: Vulpes vulpes (red fox)
Lineage: Eukaryota; Metazoa; Chordata; Mammalia; Carnivora; Canidae
Source: Ensembl